AUUGAACGCUAGCGGAAUGCUUUACACAUGCAAGUCGAACGGCAGCACGGACUUCGGUCUGGUGGCGAGUGGCGAACGGGUGAGUAAUGUAUCGGAACGUGCCCAGUCGUGGGGGAUAACGUAGUGAAAAUUACGCUAAUACCGCAUACGAUCUAUGGAUGAAAGCGGGGGAUCGCAAGACCUCGCGCGAAUGGAGCGGCCGAUAUCAGAUUAGGUAGUUGGUGGGGUAAAGGCCCCCCAAGCCAACUAUCUGUAGCGGGUCUGAGAGGACGACCAGCCACACUGGAACUGAGACACGGUCCAGACUCCUACGGGAGGCAGCAGUGGGGAAUUUUGGACAAUGGGCGAAAGCCUGAUCCAGCCAUUCCGCGUGCAGGAUGAAGGCCCUCGGGUUGUAAACUGCUUUUGUACAGAACGAAAAGGUUUCUACUAAUACUAGGAGCUCAUGACGGUACUGUAAGAAUAAGCACCGGCUAACUACGUGCCAGCAGCCGCCGUAA
This 500-nucleotide ribosomal RNA is filed under the name uncultured bacterium. RNAcentral describes it as "partial 16S ribosomal RNA". It matches the Rfam family "Bacterial small subunit ribosomal RNA", at positions 30 to 523 of the family's 1533-position model. The record is from RNAcentral.